Molecule: ribosomal RNA, 265 nt
Filed under: uncultured archaeon
Lineage: Archaea
Description: partial 16S ribosomal RNA
Rfam family: Archaeal small subunit ribosomal RNA
Source: RNAcentral
AGACGUCUACAUUAGAUACCCCUGUAGUCCCAGCCGUAAACUAUGCGCGUUAGGUGUAUCGGUGACCACGAGUUACCGAGGUGCCGAAGGGAAACCGUGAAACGUGCCGCCUGGGAAGUACGGUCGCAAGGCUGAAACUUAAAGGAAUUGGCGGGGGAGCACCACAACAGAUGGAGCCUGCGGUUUAAUUGGACUCAACGCCGGGAAGCUCACCGGAUAGGACAGCAGAAUGAUUGCCGGGCUGAAGACCCUGCAUGACUAGCUG